Molecule: ribosomal RNA, 451 nt
Filed under: uncultured bacterium
Lineage: Bacteria
Description: bacterial SSU rRNA
Rfam family: Bacterial small subunit ribosomal RNA
Source: RNAcentral
GGUGAACGCUGGCGGCGCGCUUAAUGCAUGCAAGUCGAGCGUGACCCGAUGGGGCAACCUGUCGGGUAAAGCGGCGAACGGCUGAAUAACGCGUGAGCAACUUGCCCUCUGGUGGGGUACAGCCCCGAGAAAUCGAGGUUAAUCCCGCAUACGAUCCUCAGGCCCCUGGUCUGGGGAUGAAAGGCCCGAUUCGUUGGGUCGCCGGAGGAGAGGCUCGCGUCCUAUCAGGUAGNGGCGGGGUAACGGCCCACCAAGCCGAUGACGGGUAGCUGGUCUGAGAGGAUGGCCAGCCAGAGGGGGACUGAGACACGGCCCCCACUCCUACGGGAGGCAGCAGUGGGGAAGUUUUGGACAAUGGGGGCGAACCCUGAUCCAGCGACGCCGCGUGGAGGACGAAGGUCUUCGGAUUGUAAACUCCUUUUGGAGGGGAAGAAUGCCUGAGUGAAUAACU